CCUACGGGAGGCUGCAGUGAGGAAUAUUGGUCAAUGGUCGGGAGCCUGAACCAGCCAAGCCGCGUGAGGGAUGAAGGUACAGAGUAUCGUAAACCUCUUUUGUCAGGGAACAAAGGCGGGGACGCGUCCCCGGAUGAGUGUACCUGAAGAAAAAGCAUCGGCUAACUCCGUGCCAGCAGCCGCGUUAAUACGGAGGAUGCGAGCGUUAUACGGAGUUAUUGGGUUUAAAGGGUGCGCAGGCGGCCUGGUAAGUCAGCGGUAAAAGCCCGGGGCUCAACCCCGGCCCGCCGUUGAAACUGGCGGGCUGGAGUUGGAGAGAAGUAUGCGGAAUGCGCGGUGUAGCGGUGAAAUGCUUAGAUAUCGCGCAGAACCCCGAUUGCGAAGGCAGCAUGCCGGCUCCACACUGACGCUGAGGCACGAAAGCGUUGGUAUCGAACAGGAUUAGAUACCCUGGUAGGC
RNAcentral lists this ribosomal RNA (459 nucleotides) under uncultured bacterium. RNAcentral's name for it is "partial 16S ribosomal RNA". It matches the Rfam family "Bacterial small subunit ribosomal RNA", at positions 338 to 795 of the family's 1533-position model. The record is from RNAcentral.